UAAAAAGGGGAGCUAAAUUUAGAAGUGAAAACAGAACUGCUAAAUCUGGCUGAGAGGAAGCUUGGCUUCGACCCUCUGAACCUGAUAUGGAUAAUUCCAGCGAAGGGAGCA
This 111-nucleotide non-coding RNA is filed under the name human gut metagenome. The record is from RNAcentral.